GAAGACCAAGGGUUCCUGUCCAACGUUAAUCGGGGCAGGGUGAGUCGACCCCUAAGGCGAGGCCGAAAGGCGUAGUCGAUGGGAAACGGGUUAAUAUUCCCGUACUUGGUGUUACUGCGAAGGGGGGACGGAGAAGGCUAUGUUGGCCGGGCGACGGUUGUCCCGGUUUAAGCGUGUAGGUGUGUGUUCCAGGUAAAUCCGGUUCACUUUAACACUGAGGCGUGACGACGAGGCACUACGGUGCUGAAGCAACAAAUGCCCUGCUUCCAGGAAAAGCCUCUAAGCAUCAGGUAACAUCAAAUCGUACCCCAAACCGACACAGGUGGUCAGGUAGAGAAUACCAAGGCGCUUGAGAGAACUCGGGUGAAGGAACUAGGCAAAAUGGUGCCGUAACUUCGGGAGAAGGCACGCUGACACGUAGGUGAAGUGAUUUACUCAUGGAGCUGAAGUCAGUCGAAGAUACCAGCUGGCUGCAACUGUUUAUUAAAAACACAGCACUGUGCAAACACGAAAGUGGACGUAUACGGUGUGACGCCUGCCCGGUGCCGGAAGGUUAAUUGAUGGGGUCAGCGCAAGCGAAGCUCCUGAUCGAAGCCCCGGUAAACGGCGGCCGUAACUAUAACGGUCCUAAGGUAGCGAAAUUCCUUGUCGGGUAAGUUCCGACCUGCACGAAUGGCGUAAUGAUGGCCAGGCUGUCUCCACCCGAGACUCAGUGAAAUUGAACUCGCUGUGAAGAUGCAGUGUACCCGCGGCAAGACGGAAAGACCCCGUGAACCUUUACUAUAGCUUGACACUGAACAUUGAGCCUUGAUGUGUAGGAUAGGUGGGAGGCUUUGAAGUGUGGACGCCAGUCUGCAUGGAGCCGACCUUGAAAUACCACCCUUUAAUGUUUGAUGUUCUAACGUGGACCCGUGAUCCGGGUUGCGGACAGUGUCUGGUGGGUAGUUUGACUGGGGCGGUCUCCUCCUAAAGAGUAACGGAGGAGCACGAAGGUUGGCUAAUCCUGGUCGGACAUCAGGAGGUUAGUGCAAUGGCAUAAGCCAGCUUGACUGCGAGCGUGACGGCGCGAGCAGGUGCGAAAGCAGGUCAUAGUGAUCCGGUGGUUCUGAAUGGAAGGGCCAUCGCUCAACGGAUAAAAGGUACUCCGGGGAUAACAGGCUGAUACCGCCCAAGAGUUCAUAUCGACGGCGGUGUUUGGCACCUCGAUGUCGGCUCAUCACAUCCUGGGGCUGAAGUAGGUCCCAAGGGUAUGGCUGUUCGCCAUUUAAAGUGGUACGCGAGCUGGGUUUAGAACGUCGUGAGACAGUUCGGUCCCUAUCUGCCGUGGGCGCUGGAGAACUGAGGGGGGCUGCUCCUAGUACGAGAGGACCGGAGUGGACGCAUCACUGGUGUUCGGGUUGUCAUGCCAAUGGCACUGCCCGGUAGCUAAAUGCGGAAGAGAUAAGUGCUGAAAGCAUCUAAGCACGAAACUUGCCCCGAG
RNAcentral lists this ribosomal RNA (1480 nucleotides) under Salmonella enterica. Its description in RNAcentral is "partial 23S ribosomal RNA". It matches the Rfam family "Bacterial large subunit ribosomal RNA", at positions 1340 to 2803 of the family's 2925-position model. Lineage: Bacteria; Pseudomonadati; Pseudomonadota; Gammaproteobacteria; Enterobacterales; Enterobacteriaceae. The record is from RNAcentral.